Molecule: ribosomal RNA, 497 nt
Filed under: uncultured bacterium
Lineage: Bacteria
Description: partial 16S ribosomal RNA
Rfam family: Bacterial small subunit ribosomal RNA
Source: RNAcentral
GAUGAACGCUGGCGGCGUGCCUAAUACAUGCAAGUCGAGCGAACAGACGAGGAGCUUGCUCCUCUGACGUUAGCGGCGGACGGGUGAGUAACACGUGGAUAACCUACCUAUAAGACUGGGAUAACUUCGGGAAACCGGAGCUAAUACCGGAUAAUAUAUUGAACCGCAUGGUUCAAUAGUGAAAGACGGCUUUGCUGUCACUUAUAGAUGGAUCCGCGCCGCAUUAGCUAGUUGGUAAGGUCACGGCUUACCAAGGCGACGAUGCGUAGCCGACCUGAGAGGGUGAUCGGCCACACUGGAACUGAGACACGGUCCAGACUCCUACGGGAGGCAGCAGUAGGGAAUCUUCCGCAAUGGGCGAAAGCCUGACGGAGCAACGCCGCGUGAGUGAUGAAGGUCUUCGGAUCGUAAAACUCUGUUAUUAGGGAAGAACAAAUGUGUAAGUAACUAUGCACGUCUUGACGGUACCUAAUCAGAAAGCCACGGCUAACUACGUG